This is a non-coding RNA of Tachysurus fulvidraco (yellow catfish), 711 nucleotides long. The record is from the annotation of a RefSeq genome assembly. Lineage: Eukaryota; Metazoa; Chordata; Actinopteri; Siluriformes; Bagridae.
UAGUAUGAAUAUAAAAUCAAACCGUGUUUCAAGUGCGUUCACAUUCUGUUAAUAAAUGAGAUACAAACACUGUAGAAUUGAUAAGAAAUGAACAAUGAGCAGUUUCUGGAUUUUACUUUUCAUCUUCAGCACCAUGUACACACUCCAUCCUGGUAGACACUGGGUUACUGCACAAUCUCUAACAAAGCCACCAGUUUAUCAGCCUGAUAAAGAGCUCAAUGUGAAUAUCGGAGACUCGGCGACUCUACAGUGUUGUAUUUCUGAAAAUAGAGAUGGAAUAAUUACAUGGUUUAAGCAACCAACGAGAGAAAAACCUCAGAUUGUAGUCACAGUGUAUAAAAGUGGUGGAGAAACUUUUCACACUGGAUUCCAAAAAUCUCGUUUUCGAAUAGAAAGAUCUUCAAACUGCUGCAAAAUGAUAAUUUUAAGCAUGACUCAGUCUGAUGAAGCCAUGUACUACUGUGCAAUGACAAGAUUCAACAUUGUGUUUGGAGAUGGAACUUAUUUACAAAUUAAAGGAGAAGAAAACCUGAAACCUCAAGAUCUAACACUGCUGUAGAAGAUUCUCCAGCAACGAUGCAGGAAUCUGAAGCUGAAUCACUGAAUUAUGCGGCUUUGCAAUUCUCCAAGAGGAAAACCAAAGCUGAAAAAAGAAAACCCGUCUCAUCAGAUGAGUGUGUGUACACCGAUGUGAAAUACUCUGUAAGAUAA